CUCUGUGACUCCUACGGGAGGCAGCAGUGGGGAAUAUUGCACAAUGGGGGAAACCCUGAUGCAGCCAUGCCGCGUGUGUGAAGAAGGCCUUCGGGUUGUAAAGCACUUUCAGUAGGGAGGAAGGUAGUGUAGUUAACACCUGCACUAUUUGACGUUACCUACAGAAGAAGCACCGGCUAACUCCGUGCCAGCAGCCGCGGUAAUACGGAGGGUGCGAGCGUUAAUCGGAAUUACUGGGCGUAAAGCGCAUGCAGGCGGCCUGUUAAGUCAGAUGUGAAAGCCCGGGGCUUAACCUCGGAAUUGCAUUUGAAACUGGCAGGCUAGAGUCUUGUAGAGGGGGUAGAAUUUCAGGUGUAGCGGUGAAAUGCGUAGAGAUCUGAAGGAAUACCAGUGGCGAAGGCGGCCCCCUGGACAAAGACUGACGCUCAGAUGCGAAAGCGUGGGGAGCAAACAGGAUUAGAUACCCUGGGAG
RNAcentral lists this ribosomal RNA (472 nucleotides) under uncultured bacterium. Its description in RNAcentral is "bacterial SSU rRNA". It matches the Rfam family "Bacterial small subunit ribosomal RNA", at positions 328 to 793 of the family's 1533-position model. The record is from RNAcentral.